Empidonax traillii (willow flycatcher) is the source of this 2039-nucleotide long non-coding RNA. RefSeq lists it as uncharacterized. The transcript has 2 exons. Lineage: Eukaryota; Metazoa; Chordata; Aves; Passeriformes; Tyrannidae. The record is from RefSeq and is a predicted model, not a curated record.
CUGCCCCUCCUCUUUCCCUCACAAGAAAUUUAUCACUGAUUAGUGAUAAUCACUGCUGUGGAGACAUAGGGUGGGAUAGGGGUAGGGCCUUUACUGAAAUUCCCCAGGGUGAUAUAAUGCCAUUCUGUCUGUAUUUGCCAAAGCUUGUCCUUUGGGUUGAUAUUUUGUUAAAACAGAACUCCAGACUAGUAAUGUUGAACUAUGCUGUAUUAGUGUCCAUAGGCAGACAUUUAAGACAGUUUUAAAAGAAUAAAAUGGCUUAUUUUGAUUUUCUGUGUAGAAAGAUACAUCAUUUCAGUUUAAGAGGUCAUGUUAAAGUAAAAAAUUAAGUAUUUACCAAAACUAAAGUUCUUUUGCCGUUUCAGUUUGUGGAAACACGGAGUCCCUCAGGCAUUGCAGUGUUUGGAGAUGGUUUUCAUACAUGGAACUCUUGGUUGCUUCCCAGGUCAGGUUCACAGGCUCUGAGCUGAACAAUUACGUCCUCACGACUUUCUGGAAAGAACACAGGCAAAAUUGAGGUAUUGAGCUCUAAAGCUGAAAUCUUAAAAUUCCCUUAACCCUAGAGGCCCUCCAGAAUCUGAGAGUUGGUACCUCAUAUUUUGGCGAGCAUAGCUCUUCCAGCACCUGAAAUGAUGCCUUUUCCCCUGAAACAUGCUGAAGUCUAGACAGUACCUUGACGUGUAACCUCAUAUUAGCUUGACUAUUCCCCAUAAUAUUAAUAAGCUUUAACACUUUUUUCUCCCAUGGUGAAAUGGUCACCUCCCAUGUGCUGGAACCGCCAACCAUAUGCCAAGGAGAUCAAGCUGUCAGUUUUGAGAAGAGCACUGGGAGCUGGGCAUUGUGUCCAGUUCACUGUGCUCGCCUGCCCCUGGGAGAGCAGCUCAGCAGCAGCAGUGGUUGUGCUCUGCUGUUCCUGGGUCCCGCUGGGCAGUGAGUAAUCUGGUGGGGAAUGGUUUUAGCAAAUGCACCAAAUGAGGACCGUGUUGUGACAACUGAUGGGAGACUCUGCUUGGGUUUUGUACUCUCAGUGGUGCUGAGGGACUGAAGGAACCAGGGCAAAUCUACAGUGCAGAGGGCAAAAGGCCAACCUGAUGUGGCUGGCUGAAACUUGCCACUGUAUUGUCUGGCUCUUUUAGAGAGUUCUCUGCCCUGGCCCUUCUUUCAGAGACAAGGUCGCUGUCCCAGGAGGAGGAGUGUUUCCUGGAGCUGUACUGCAGUCCUGUGCAGCACAGCUGCCAGAUGGCCCUCACUGCCAAGCAGAACUGCUUGCUGGGUCUCACAUGCUUUAAAGUCUUACCCUGGGUCUCAAAGGAAACAAGAGGGAGGAUGAUUUGACACACAUUCUCCUGAUUUGACAUAUGAUAUGGUUACAACAUGUUGUGUCCUCCAGAAGAAAUCCAAAAUACAUGUUCGUGUACAGGCACAAAUCUGGCUGUUCCCUGAUAAACUGUUCAUGUGGAAAGAUACAAUUUGCAUGGUUGUCAUCAAAGCCGGUGUAUGUAUUCAUUUGCAGAAGCAUGUCAGACACCAUAUGCCAGUAAUAUGCCUUUGAUAUGUUGGUGUCUGAAUCAUUUUUUUAACUGCUGAAUGGCAUAUGUUUAAAUGUAAACAUCUGCUCUGUGUUUGUGCUGCCUGUGUUUUUUAUUUCUGUAUUUUCUUUUGACUAAGAGUUUGAUUCAAACCCAGAAAAAAUGUGGGAUUCUUCCUGUUUUUAAAGAAAGACCAUUUUUUAGUAUUUCAUCAUAUGGCCAAUGUGUAUGUUCUCAUAGGUGUGAAGCAUAUUUAAAAGAGAAGUUUUUCCCUUUUGGUAACCAAAACAAACUCAAUUUCCAGGCAAAAUAAAAAUUUUAUUGGACUAGAAGUUUCUUGAAUAAAAAAAUUAUUGUAUUAGUGUUGGGCAGGUUCUGUAAUCUAUGAAUUUACUGGAAAGCAGACUAAUGUUAUACCAUGACAUUAAAUUAUUUUUAUUCAGAAACUUUUCUGAUUCAGAUAAAGAACUUGCAGUGUAAUAAAUGACUUAAUAAAGGAAUGAAAUAAUA